Molecule: ribosomal RNA, 212 nt
Filed under: uncultured bacterium
Lineage: Bacteria
Description: partial 16S ribosomal RNA
Rfam family: Bacterial small subunit ribosomal RNA
Source: RNAcentral
UACAGAGGUCUCAAGCGUUGUUCGGAUUCAUUGGGCGUAAAGGGUGCGUAGGUGGCGCCGUAAGUCAGGUGUGAAAUUUCGGGAGCUUAACUCCGAAACUGCAUUUGAUACUGCGGUGCUUGAGGACUGGAGAGGGAGACUGGAAUUUAACGGUGUAGCAGUGAAAUGCGUAGAGAUCGUAAGGAAGACCAGUGGCGAAGGCGGGUCUCUGG